GGGGAGUACGCCGGCAACGGUGAAACUCAAAGGAAUUGACGGGGGCCCGCACAAGCGGAGGAACAUGUGGUUUAAUUCGAUGAUACGCGAGGAACCUUACCCGGGCUUGAAUUGCAACUGAAUGAUGUGGAGACAUGUCAGCCGCAAGGCAGUUGUGAAGGUGCUGCAUGGUUGUCGUCAGCUCGUGCCGUGAGGUGUCGGCUUAAGUGCCAUAACGAGCGCAACCCUUAUCGAUAGUUACCAUCAGGUUAUGCUGGGGACUCUGUCGAGACUGCCGUCGUAAGAUGUGAGGAAGGUGGGGAUGACGUCAAAUCAGCACGGCCCUUACGUCCGGGGCUACACACGUGUUACAAUGGGGGGUACAGAAGGCAGCUACACGGCGACGUGAUGCUAAUCCCGAAAGCCUCUCUCAGUUCGGAUUGGAGUCUGCAACCCGACUCCAUGAAGCUGGAUUCGCUAGUAAUCGCGCAUCAGCCACGGCGCGGUGAAUACGUUCCCGGGCCUUGACAC
RNAcentral lists this ribosomal RNA (510 nucleotides) under uncultured bacterium. Its description in RNAcentral is "bacterial SSU rRNA". It matches the Rfam family "Bacterial small subunit ribosomal RNA", at positions 875 to 1388 of the family's 1533-position model. The record is from RNAcentral.